Molecule: ribosomal RNA, 342 nt
Filed under: uncultured bacterium
Lineage: Bacteria
Description: bacterial SSU rRNA
Rfam family: Bacterial small subunit ribosomal RNA
Source: RNAcentral
ACUCCUACGGGAGGCAGCAGUGGGGAAUAUUGCACAAUGGGCGCAAGCCUGAUGCAGCCAUGCCGCGUGUGAGAAGAAGGGCCUUCGGGUUGUAAAGCACUUUCAGUCAGUGAGGAAGGUGAGUGUAGUUAAUAGCUGCAUUAUUUGACGUUAGCGACAGAAGAAGCACCGGCUAACUCCGUGCCAGCAGCCGCGGUAAUACGGAGGGUGCGAGCGUUAAUCGGAAUUACUGGGCGUAAAGCGCAUGCAGGUGGUUUGUUAAGUCAGAUGUGAAAGCCCGGGGCUCAACCUCGGAAUUGCAUUUGAAACUGGCAGACUAGAGUACUGUAGAGGGGGGUAGAA